GUGAGAUUUAUUUUUUACAUAUAUUGUUAAUAUUUUUUGAAUUAUUUUGUUAUUUUAAAAUAUAAUAACGGUUAAAUAUUCAAAAUAUAUAGGACGUUCAGAGAUUGGGCCGCCUGUGACUAGAUUAGAAGGCUUUGAAUGCCGCCAACAUCACAUUAGUAUAGCUGGCGCCUGGCGUAGCUGGCAGUAGGAAGCAAAUGGCGCGGGGAAUGCGUGCAGUGUAUGUCAUUUUCUAAUUUUUGGAUGCCCGCGCCUCAAGCCCGACCCUAUACGCUGGCUACACAUUAGUUGAAUACAUAUACAGCUAAUAAAUAUAAAUAUAUGAGUAAAAAUAUAUACAGAUAAUUCAAAAAUCUUUUACCUUAAACAUUGCGUGCGGAAGGGAUGAUGGGUAACUCCCUAUUUAGAGUCUUAAAUUCUGGAAAUUUGCUUUGCAACAAUGCUAGGAUUUAUAUCUUUAAACUAGGGUACCUGCAAGGUAGGGAUUCCUGCGGGCAUUAAAAGCAAAUUGAACUACAGUAAACAGCACAAAUUAUAUCAAGCACAGUGAUUACUCGCAGCGACUAGUGAGCUGUGAAAUGUGAAUGGAACUGAUAGCACAGACCAGGGGUUAAAGGGCAAUCAGAGGUGACAGAUAUUAAACAUGUGCGUCUCAUUGGCAUACAGGUAAUUAAGAUCAAAUUUCAUAUCAAGUCUGUUUACUGCUAGGCGCAUUUACUAUAUUUUAUAGACUAUAUACACAGAUUUACGUUAUCAAAAAUAUAAAACUGACAGUGGCCAAAGUCCAAAACAAAUGUAAGCGUAACAUUAGACUUGAAAAGCUUUAGAAAUUCAAUAAAAGACUCGAGCGAGUUUAAAAUAUGUGUUCUGCGCAUAAAAAGCGCGCACGACCACAAUUCCAUGCGGUAAAUAAAAUUUAGUUCAAACCCCUCUCUGCAUAUAUUAGGUUGCUGCUACGCUCGCUCGCUUCAGGCUCGCUCGCUCCGCAGCAAAAAUAAUUAACGCUAUUCGAGUUGCGUGCCUUAUACAAGACGAUCUUCGGGCGAUUUUAAUGCAUUAAUAUAAUUUUUUGUUGAUUCGUCAACACCUUAGGGAGUGGUCAUUAUUUAUGGGGAAGGGGGGGGGGGAGGUUGGGAAAUGGGGAAAUAAGGAUUGAAGACUUUUUUGACACCCCCCCCCCCUCCAGACUGAAGGCAAACUUUUUGUGCCUCCCCCUCAUAAAAGUAGAAACUUUUCUGACCCCUCCCCAGUGUGGAUUGAAAACUUAACAGCAAUGAAACAGGUGUGCGUUGCAGGUAAAGUUAGCUAUUAGGACAAUCAGUUUAAUCUAACUCAUGAUGUUUUACCCUGGUGAAUAUGAUUCAACCAUAUAUGAUUAAAAAAUAUAUAUUAUGUGUUACUACUUUGCAAUGCAACAUUUGUCCUACCAUAACCCUAACCCAUGACCCGUCUUCAUACAGCGACAUGAUUUGAACACAGGGUUUUUUUAAGAACUUGUCGGGGGUGGGCAUCUACAAAAGGGACCAUACUAUAUUGAGUGUGGAGAGAUGACAGAUGGUUGUUGGUGACAAAAAGUUUGGUGUGGUAUCGUAUGUACUAGUAGGGGGGUCUGGGGGUAUUCUCCCCCAGAAAAUUUUUUGUAUUUUUCCACCCCUAGAACUGAAAUGUGAGCAUUUUCUGAAACAGAUUUUUGGAUAUACAGC
Molecule: long non-coding RNA, 1703 nt
Filed under: Paramuricea clavata
Lineage: Eukaryota; Metazoa; Cnidaria; Anthozoa; Malacalcyonacea; Plexauridae
Source: RNAcentral